This 840-nucleotide ribosomal RNA is filed under the name uncultured bacterium. RNAcentral's name for it is "bacterial SSU rRNA". It matches the Rfam family "Bacterial small subunit ribosomal RNA", at positions 29 to 873 of the family's 1533-position model. The record is from RNAcentral.
AUGAACGCUAGCGGGAGGCUUAACACAUGCAAGUCGAGGGGUAUAAUCAGCAAUAAUUAGAGACCGGCGCACGGGUGAGUAACGCGUAUGCAACCUGCCCUUUACCGGGGGAUAGCCCGUAGAAAUGCGGAUUAAUACCCCAUAGUUCUGUAGUGCCGCAUGGCGCAACAGAUAAAGUUUCGGUGGUAAAUGAUGGGCAUGCGUGACAUUAGCUAGUUGGUGGGGUAACGGCCCACCAAGGCUACGAUGUCUAGGGGUUCUGAGAGGAAGAUCCCCCACACUGGUACUGAGACACGGACCAGACUCCUACGGGAGGCAGCAGUGAGGAAUAUUGGUCAAUGGGCGAGAGCCUGAACCAGCCAUCCCGCGUGCAGGAAGAAUGCCCUAUGGGUUGUAAACUGCUUUUUCGCAAGAAGAACAUCCCGAACGAGUUCGGGACUGACGGUACUGCGAGAAUAAGCACCGGCUAACUCCGUGCCAGCAGCCGCGGUAAUACGGAGGGUGCAAGCGUUAUCCGGAUUUAUUGGGUUUAAAGGGUGCGUAGGCGGCAAUUUAAGUCAGUGGUGAAAUCCUGCAGCUCAACUGUAGAACAGCCAUUGAAACUGAAUUACUUGAGUAAUCUUGAGGUAGGCGGAAUGUGUAGUGUAGCGGUGAAAUGCUUAGAUAUUACACAGAACACCGAUUGCGAAGGCAGCUUACUAAGGAUUUACUGACGCUGAUGCACGAAAGCGUGGGGAUCAAACAGGAUUAGAUACCCUGGUAGUCCACGCCGUAAACGAUGAUGACUCGCUGUUGGCGAUAUACAGUCAGCGGCUUUAGCGAAAGCGUAAGUCAUCCACC